GACGGGUGGUAGCACAAAUCAAAGACAGUGGAAGCAAAAAACAAAACGAUGGUAGCAAAAUUUGGGAGUGAUUCCAGCAAGAAGAUGGCUCCGGCAAAACAAAUCAAAAAUAAGGUUGUAGCAAAAAAUGAAGACGGUGGUAGCAAAAUUCAAAGACCAUGUGGCAAAAAAUAGAGUGGUUCCAGCAAAAGGAUGGAUCCAGCAAAAAAAUCAAAAACAGGGAUGAUAGCAAAAACUAAGACGGCAGUAGCAAAAAUAAAAAACCGUGGUAGCAAAACUUGGAAUCGUUCCAGCAUAUAGAUGGAUCUAGCAAAAAAAUCAAAAGACAAGGGAUGCAACGGUUGUAGCAAAAAACAAAACCAUGGUAGCAAAAUUUGGGAGCGGUUCCAGCAAAAAGCACUCUAAAAUGUGGAUCGUAGCAAAAAAAUGUUGCUGAUUCCAGCAAAAAUAGUAACCGGAUGUAGCAAAAAAUGUCGCCGACUGCAGCUCCCGCCAAGGCCGUUUCCAGCAUCUCGUCCGCUAGUCCACGGUGUAGCCGCCGUUCCAGCGCAGGUGGAGGCGCGUCGCUCACCGGAGCAAAAUGGGGGCAGGUGGAGGCGAGGCGCUCGCCGUAGCAGCGCGGUGGGAGGUGGAUGCGGCUGCUCGCUGGAGCAACGCGGUGGGAGGUGGAUGCGGCCGCUUGCCAGAGCAGCACGGCGCAGGUGGGUGUGGUGCUCGCCGGAGCAGCGCGGGGCAGGUGGAUCCAUGGAUGGCGGACAUCGCCGGAUUACAGCAGAAUCGUAUUUGAUUUGGGGAGGACUGAGCGAAGGGGAUAAGGUAACAAGCACGGUUUUGGGGCCCACAAGGGACGUGUGGUGAGAAAAGUACGAUGGACGUGGCAC
RNAcentral lists this ribosomal RNA (881 nucleotides) under Triticum aestivum (bread wheat). Its description in RNAcentral is "partial small subunit ribosomal RNA". The record is from RNAcentral. Lineage: Eukaryota; Viridiplantae; Streptophyta; Magnoliopsida; Poales; Poaceae.